This 2653-nucleotide long non-coding RNA is filed under the name Daphnia magna. RNAcentral describes it as "uncharacterized LOC116929233, transcript variant X2". The stretch from base 2420 to 2501 matches the Rfam family "mir-8/mir-141/mir-200 microRNA precursor family". Lineage: Eukaryota; Metazoa; Arthropoda; Branchiopoda; Diplostraca; Daphniidae. The record is from RNAcentral.
GUGUGUUCGCCCUUUGCUAUUCUGGUUAAUAAAAACCACUCCCAAAAAAAACCGGCUUUUCUUACUCGAUCCCGCGGUCAUUCUCCUCUUGAAUAGCCAAACUUGCUGGUACCCAUCUGCAUUAAUGAAAAUGCUUAAAAUUACAAUUUAUUAAAGCCAGCUGAUUGACUUUCAACAUUCAAAUGGUUUUCGUUGAAAUUUAAAGCGAGUAAGGUUAACGAAAAGUUGUCGCCUGUUUAAGGUCAUACCAAUACGGGCAAAGUUUUUCAGUUUUCCCUGUGCAGCGAAGGUCAGUCUUGGGAACAAGUCGUUGCUAUCAGUCAACCAGAAUGUUCAAGCCAGUCGUUGACUGUAGCGCAGACAUUCGGGUUUUGUUACAUUUCAUUUCUAAAAAUCAUGCAAUCAGCAAAGAAAGGACUAAGGAAAACCAACAUUUUAGCUUGUAUUUUACUUCAUCCAGGGUUAACAUCAUGACAUAUUGGAUGUGCGUAUAAAUGUACAGCUUUAAUCAUUUUUUUUAAAGUCGGUGUUAUUAUAACACUAGAAGUUUUGCCCUUACAAGAACCUAGAGGAAAAGAAUCUGGUAUCACUAACUAGCGAGGACCCGAAACCUCCUCAGUCCUCCAAUUAGAAAUUGGGGAGGAGAUAGUCCGAGAAAAGUCAGAGGCGAACAGCCAUGACACCCGCACUGGACUUGGCUCGCUUCACAAUAUACCAGACUGUGGGGACUGCUUAGUUGGAUUCGAACUUUCAAUCGGUAAACACACUGCGAAGAAGCUGCUCGUCAUUUUUGAAUUUUGAACGACUUGAUUUCGAUUCUGGAGCCAAUUUUCCUACGCUAGCAGACACGAAGAUGCUGGUAUCACAAGGAUCCUGUUUCGAAAUUGCAUAUUGGGGAUGUCGGCAUUUGACCCAAAAUCUGGAACAUGUGCUCCAAACCAAAACCACGACGUGGUAGCACAGGUAAUAAGAUAAAUAUUUCAAAUUUCCCUACUAAAAUUGUCAAAAGAAAAUUAGAGCGUAGCUUCAUGAACUUUGGUUUCAGCUUAUUAUUUAAAUUGUUUUGCAUUAUUCAUACGUUCACGAUGAAUAUAAGGUUUCGAGUACUCGUUUGGUACGGAAAAGAGUGCCCAUCGUUCUAUAAAUAGAACAUCCAUACAUUUUAUGGUUAUUUCUACGCUCCACACGACCCUUCAAUGAAGACUUAGAAAUAUACUAUUUGUUAUCCAAUGUCUGACGCAGCUCUCGAAUUAAAAAAGAAAAUGGUAAUUGUUAUGUGGCAAUAUAGAGAGCUAAAUAUGAAUUAAAUUUAUCUUUUGAUUUUAAAAGUGACUUUUUCUUCUUCUUUGCAGGCAUCGUGGUGGCUGACAGCGCCACGAAAGGAUGUCCCACCCGUACAGCUUCAACUUAGACUUUGUUGAAAUAAUACGCUUCCCCUACACUAUCAUUGGGAAUCUCUCGAAAAUUCUUAGUUUACAUCUGGGUUAUGACUUUUGCAAGCGAUUGUCGCUUUCUCCCUAAAGUUUCAAAACAUGCAACAACAAAAAAAAAAAAAAGAGCAGAACAAGGAUGGCACACACACACACACAAAAAGAGAGGGGAGGGAAAAGAUUUGAAUUUCAAUCAUGUAAGCUUUAAUGAAUAGUGUCGACGUUGCUGUAGUAAUCUGAAGCUGGAUGUUUCUACCGAUAAAUCCGACUCGGGCUAUCGCUGCGACCUUGGUGACCUCUUUAACCCUGCCUCCCUCUUUUCUGCUGCCUAGUCCAGCAAUAGUUCGAUUGAGCUGCUGCUGGAGCCACUGAUAAGUAUAUAUUCAAAUUUCUUGCGGAGGGCGGUGGGGUGCAAGAGUGCGGGUCACGGACGCGAGCUCUUUUUAUUUUAUUUUAUCGUUUCUUUCGGCCUCCACGAUUGGUGGCAUCCGUUCAUUUUUGGAAGACUUGUAACUUCUUCUUAGCAGUUCAGCCAUCAAAAGUCAUUCCCUUGGCUGCCAUCUGCGACUCGACAACGAUUUUCUUUCUUAUCUGUUUGAGCAAAUACUGGAGGGAGCAUCAGGCCAAACGCAAUACUGUUUGUCCAGGAGGUAAUUUUUUUUUUUUUUUUUUUUUUGUUAAAUGUUUGGAGAAAGAAAAGAAGAACUGUGUCCCAUUUAUGAUCUUUUUUUUUUAAAAUGAUGUGCAAGCAAACUGUUUUAACCCAUUGGCCUGUGUGCAUUUCUCUAUCGUCUGGCCCGACAGGGUGUCUCGGAUCUGGUGCUUAGAUUAGCAGCUACGUCCAUCUUAACAGAUAGAAAAACGAAUUUUUCUUUUUAAAUUUCUUUUAUUAUUAGAUAUUUUUUAAUAGUUUAUAUAUACAUAAGUUUAAAAUGGUGCUCUGUUGUACAUAACGUGUUUUGAACGAAUCACCGUCUAACUGAGUAUCGGUUUCCAUCUUACCGGGCAGCAUUAGAUUGGCUUUGUAACAAGCACCAUGUGUUUCUAAUACUGUCAGGUAAAGAUGUCCUCCGUGCUUGUGAAUCAUCGUGGUCUCCAACUACAGAUUCAAUUUUUAGUUUUAAAUGUUUUUGUUUUUUUAAAACUUUGUACGAUAUUAUUCUUUUAUUUGCCAUGGAACACAAUGUUUCAGCUGGAAAUACACCCCUCAUUUUGCAGAAUUA